Arachnomyces sp. PD_36 is the source of this 101-nucleotide non-coding RNA. The record is from the annotation of a GenBank genome assembly. Lineage: Eukaryota; Fungi; Ascomycota; Eurotiomycetes; Onygenales; Arachnomycetaceae.
GGGGUUAUGGCCAAGCUGGGAAGGCGUUCGACUGAAGGAAUUCAGCCAAUUUGACCUAAUACGUUAUCGAAAGAUCCCCGGUUCAAUCCCGGGUGACCCCA